Small nuclear RNA from Marmota marmota marmota (Alpine marmot), 107 nucleotides. NCBI's taxonomy places the organism in Eukaryota, Metazoa, Chordata, Mammalia, Rodentia, Sciuridae. The record is from Ensembl.
GUGCUCGAUUCAGCAGCACACACACUAAAAUUGGAACGAUAUGGAGAAGAUUAGCAUGGCCCCUUCACAAGGAUGACACGCAAAUUCCUGAAGCCUUCCAUACUUUU